This 1409-nucleotide ribosomal RNA is filed under the name uncultured bacterium. RNAcentral describes it as "partial 16S ribosomal RNA". It matches the Rfam family "Bacterial small subunit ribosomal RNA". The record is from RNAcentral.
AGAGUUUGAUCCUGGCUCAGGACGAACGCUGGCGGCGUGCCUAAUACAUGCAAGUAGAACGCUGAAGAGAGGAGCUUGCUCUUCUUGGAUGAGUUGCGAACGGGUGAGUAACGCGUAGGUAACCUGCCUUGUAGCGGGGGAUAACUAUUGGAAACGAUAGCUAAUACCGCAUAACAAUGGGUGACACAUGUCAUUUAUUUGAAAGGGGCAAUUGCUCCACUACAAGAUGGACCUGCGUUGUAUUAGCUAGUAGGUGAGGUAACGGCUCACCUAGGCGACGAUACAUAGCCGACCUGAGAGGGUGAUCGGCCACACUGGGACUGAGACACGGCCCAGACUCCUACGGGAGGCAGCAGUAGGGAAUCUUCGGCAAUGGGGGCAACCCUGACCGAGCAACGCCGCGUGAGUGAAGAAGGUUUUCGGAUCGUAAAGCUCUGUUGUAAGUCAAGAACGAGUGUGAGAGUGGAAAGUUCACACUGUGACGGUAGCUUACCAGAAAGGGACGGCUAACUACGUGCCAGCAGCCGCGGUAAUACGUAGGUCACAAGCGUUGUCCGGAAUUACUGGGUGUAAAGGGAGCGCAGGCGGGAAGACAAGUCGGAAGUGAAAUCCAUGGGCUCAACCCAUGAACUGCUUUCAAAACUGUUUUUCUUGAGUAGUGCAGAGGUAGGCGGAAUUCCCGGUGUAGCGGUGGAAUGCGUAGAUAUCGGGAGGAACACCAGUGGCGAAGGCGGCCUACUGGGCACCAACUGACACUGAGGCUCGAAAGUGUGGGUAGCAAACAGGAUUAGAUACCCUGGUAGUCCACACUGUAAACGAUGAUUACUAGGUGUUGGAGGAUUGACCCCUUCAGUGCCGCAGUUAACACAAUAAGUAAUCCACCUGGGGAGUACGACCGCAAGGUUGAAACUCAAAGGAAUUGACGGGGGCCCGCACAAGCAGUGGAGUAUGUGGUUUAAUUCGACGCAACGCGAAGAACCUUACCAAGUCUGGACAUCCCUCUGACCGGGACUUAACCGUCCCUUUCCUUCGGGACAGGGGAGACAGGUGGUGCAUGGUUGUCGUCAGCUCGUGUCGUGAGAUGUUGGGUUAAGUCCCGCAACGAGCGCAACCCCUAUCCUUAGUAGCCAGCACGUAAUGGUGGGCACUCUGAGGAGACUGCCAGGGAUAACCUGGAGGAAGGCGGGGAUGACGUCAAAUCAUCAUGCCCCUUAUGAUUUGGGCUACACACGUGCUACAAUGGCGUAAACAAAGGGAAGCGAACCUGUGAGGGUGGGCAAAUCUCAAAAAUAACGUCCCAGUUCGGACUGCAGUCUGCAACUCGACUGCACGAAGCUGGAAUCGAUAGUAAUCGCGGAUCAGAAUGCCGCGGUGAAUACGUUCCCGGGUCUUGUACUCACCGCCCGUCA